Molecule: RNA transcript, 661 nt
Organism: Quercus lobata
Lineage: Eukaryota; Viridiplantae; Streptophyta; Magnoliopsida; Fagales; Fagaceae
Exons: 2
Source: RefSeq, a predicted model, not a curated record
AAGCAAUUAAGUUCAUCUUCUAAAAUUGCUCACUGAGAUGUUGGAAGGGAAAGCUGUGGUGCGCAAGACUGAUAUGCCUGAGGCAAUGCAGAACCAUGUCAUGGAGUUGGCUUACCAGGCUCUCGAUCUACAUGAGGUCUCUGAUUGUCAAUCUAUUGCUCAUUACAUCAAACAGACUUCGGGUCCUGCAUAACACAUAUACAUGGAUGUUUUAGUUUCUUUCAUGUGGAGAUGUUAGAGUUUCUGAUCUUCAAUGAUGGCAAGGACUUCACUGAAAGCAGGGAAGAGGCUGUUGGAGUUCUGCAGAAAGCUGAAAGAAGGGAAGAUGCUAUUUGUACUGCAGAAACUGGAAAAAGUGAUCCACAAAAUCCAUUUUUGAAGAUUAAAACUCAAUCUACUACCAAGAAAGUUGGAAAUCAAAAUAUGCUAGGCACUUUCAAUCUUUAGAAGGAAAGAAGAUGUUUUAUUAGGAUACUCAAUAAAUUUUAAACCAAAAAUGAUGUCUCAAAUAUUUGGGUUCAGCUUCAUGAAUCAUGUGAUUCACUUAUUCUAUUCUAUUGUGUGGUUGCUAUUUAUCUACAGAUUCUACACAUAUAGGCUUGACGGAUUACCUCAUAAAAGAAAUAUUAGAAUUCAAAAUUUUAACAACCUGUCAACAUAG